GUUCUUAACUUUUGGAAACUGAAGUGCCUCAAAUAUCUUGCACUCAAUAAGAACCCUGUGAGAAUGAGGGCUCAUUUGUUGCCCAACCUUGGCCAGCAGUAUACAACCUGCCUGUCUUUCCCCCUGAACUGCAAGCAGCUUUGCAGAGGAAGGAUCCCGGCUUUAAGAAGAAGGACAAGUCUCACAUCCGUGCAUUACUGAUUCAAGUGUUGUUUGACAGCAUCACUAAGCACACCUGGUACCCAAAUCAUAAAAUGUAUGGAGAUUUUCUGGGGAGUUUGAUCACCCGCUUUUCCUCUG
Molecule: long non-coding RNA, 300 nt
Organism: Carassius carassius (crucian carp)
Lineage: Eukaryota; Metazoa; Chordata; Actinopteri; Cypriniformes; Cyprinidae
Exons: 3
Source: RefSeq, a predicted model, not a curated record